CCUACGGGAGGCAGCAGUAAGGAAUAUUGGUCAAUGGACGCAAGUCUGAACCAGCCAUGCCGCGUGCAGGAUGAAGGCCCUCUGGGUUGUAAACUGCUUUUAUAGGGGACGAAAAAGGGACUUUCUAGUUCAACUGACGGUACCCUAGGAAUAAGCACCGGCUAACUCCGUGCCAGCAGCCGCGGUAAUACGGAGGGUGCAAGCGUUAUCCGGAUUUACUGGGUUUAAAGGGUGCGUAGGUGGGUCGGUAAGUCAGCGGUGAAAUCUUCAAGCUUAACUUGGAAACUGCCAUUGAUACUAUCGAUCUUGAAUCAUCUGGAGGUAAGCGGAAUAUGUCAUGUAGCGGUGAAAUGCUUAGAUAUGACAUAGAACACCAAUUGCGAAGGCAGCUUACUACGGAUGUAUUGACACUGAGGCACGAAAGCGUGGGGAUCAAACAGGAUUAGAUACCCUGGUAGUCCACGCCCUAAACCGAUGGAUACUCGACAUACGUGAUAUACUAUGUGUGUCUGAGCGAAAGCAUUAAGUAUCCCACCUGGAAGUACGAUCGCAGAUUGAAACUCAAAGGAAAUUGACGGCUGAGACGAGCGAGGACGACGACGAGGGAGGAGG
RNAcentral lists this ribosomal RNA (612 nucleotides) under uncultured bacterium. RNAcentral describes it as "bacterial SSU rRNA". It matches the Rfam family "Bacterial small subunit ribosomal RNA", at positions 338 to 951 of the family's 1533-position model. The record is from RNAcentral.